GAAAUGCGAUAAGUAAUGUGAAUUGCAGAAUUCAGUGAAUCAUCGAAUCUUUGAACGCACAUUGCGCCCGCCAGCACUCUGGCGGGCAUGCCUGUUCGAGCGUCAUUUCAACCCUCAGAACCCCUUGCGGGAUCUGGCGUUGGGGAUUGGCAUCCAGCCAGCCCCGAAAUCUAGUGGCGGUCCCUCCGCGACCUCCCCUGUGCAGUAGCGAUACCUCGCAGCGGGACAGCGGUCUGACCACGCCGUAAAACCCCCAACUUCUCAAGGUUGACUCGAAUCAGGUAGGAAUACCCGCUUAACUUAAGC
Molecule: unclassified non-coding RNA, 306 nt
Filed under: plant metagenome
Description: partial contains 5.8S ribosomal RNA, internal transcribed spacer 2, and large subunit ribosomal RNA
Rfam family: 5.8S ribosomal RNA (bases 1-105)
Source: RNAcentral